This 587-nucleotide ribosomal RNA is filed under the name uncultured Pseudomonas sp. RNAcentral describes it as "bacterial SSU rRNA". It matches the Rfam family "Bacterial small subunit ribosomal RNA", at positions 102 to 685 of the family's 1533-position model. Lineage: Bacteria; Pseudomonadati; Pseudomonadota; Gammaproteobacteria; Pseudomonadales; Pseudomonadaceae. The record is from RNAcentral.
ACGGGUGAGUAAUGCCUAGGAAUCUGCCUGGUAGUGGGGGAUAACGUUCGGAAACGGACGCUAAUACCGCAUACGUCCUACGGGAGAAAGCAGGGGACCUUCGGGCCUUGCGCUAUCAGAUGAGCCUAGGUCGGAUUAGCUAGUUGGUGAGGUAAUGGCUCACCAAGGCAACGAUCCGUAACUGGUCUGAGAGGAUGAUCAGUCACACUGGAACUGAGACACGGUCCAGACUCCUACGGGAGGCAGCAGUGGGGAAUAUUGGACAAUGGGCGAAAGCCUGAUCCAGCCAUGCCGCGUGUGUGAAGAAGGUCUUCGGAUUGUAAAGCACUUUAAGUUGGGAGGAAGGGCAUUAACCUAAUACGUUAGUGUUUUGACGUUACCGACAGAAUAAGCACCGGCUAACUCUGUGCCAGCAGCCGCGGUAAUACAGAGGGUGCAAGCGUUAAUCGGAAUUACUGGGCGUAAAGCGCGCGUAGGUGGUUUGUUAAGUUGGAUGUGAAAUCCCCGGGCUCAACCUGGGAACUGCAUUCAAAACUGACUGACUAGAGUAUGGUAGAGGGUGGUGGAAUUUCCUGUGUAGCGGUGAA